This 408-nucleotide ribosomal RNA is filed under the name uncultured bacterium. RNAcentral describes it as "bacterial SSU rRNA". It matches the Rfam family "Bacterial small subunit ribosomal RNA", at positions 29 to 430 of the family's 1533-position model. The record is from RNAcentral.
AUUGAACGCUGGCGGCAGGCCUAACACAUGCAAGUCGAACGGCAGCACAGAAGAGCUUGCUCUUUGGGUGGCGAGUGGCGGACGGGUGAGUAACACGUAGGAAUCUACCCAGUAGUGGGGGGAUAACCUGGGGAAACCCAGGCUAAUACCGCAUACGCCCUGAGGGGGAAAGCGGGGGAUCUUCGGACCUCGCGCUAUUGGAUGAGCCUGCGUCGGAUUAGCUAGUUGGUGGGGUAAGGGCCCACCAAGGCGACGAUCCGUAGCUGGUCUGAGAGGAUGACCAGUCACACCGGAACUGAGACACGGUCCGGACUCCUACGGGAGGCAGCAGUGGGGAAUUUUGGACAAUGGGCGCAAGCCUGAUCCAGCCAUGCCGCGUGAGUGAAGAAGGCCUUCGGGUUGGUUAAA